This 504-nucleotide ribosomal RNA is filed under the name uncultured bacterium. RNAcentral describes it as "bacterial SSU rRNA". It matches the Rfam family "Bacterial small subunit ribosomal RNA", at positions 501 to 1008 of the family's 1533-position model. The record is from RNAcentral.
CUACGUGCCAGCAGCCGCGGUAAUACGGAAGGUCCAGGCGUUAUCCGGAUUUAUUGGGUUUAAAGGGAGCGUAGGCGGAUUGUUAAGUCAGCGGUUAAAGGGUGUGGCUCAACCAUACAUUGCCGUUGAAACUGGCGAUCUUGAGUGCAGACAGGGAUGCCGGAAUUCGUGGUGUAGCGGUGAAAUGCUUAGAUAUCACGAAGGACUCCGAUCGCGAAGGCAGGUGUCCGGGCUGCAACUGACGCUUAAGCUCGAAGGUGCGGGUAUCAAACAGGAUUAGAUACCCUGGUAGUCCGCACAGUAAACGAUGGAUGCCCGCUGUUGGUACCUGGUAUCAGCGGCUAAGCGAAAGCAUUAAGCAUCCCACCUGGGGAGUACGCCGGCAACGGUGAAACUCAAAGGAAUUGACGGGGGCCCGCACAAGCGGAGGAACAUGUGGUUUAAUUCGACGCAACGCGAAGAACCUUACCAGGCCUUGACAUCCCUUGCAAAGCUGUAGAGAUA